CUCUGUGGGAUCGAUCCUUACUUCCCUAUACUAAUCAAAUAGUAUUAGUGGGUUAAGGUGAAACAGGCAGAAGUAGGCUGACCUGAUCAGGUUGAAGACCAAACUUGAGCAAUUCGCAACAACACAUAUCAGCUUUAAAGGGGAAGGAGACGAGAGCGGAGGAAAGCGCCACGAUUAGUUACUACUUCGGUUUCCUUUGAGAUAUGGUCCUUUACCCGGUGUAGUCGCUGUUGCGACCUGAGCCAUAUUCUGGUAACACAUGCAAUCGGAGGAAGCUUGAAGUUCAGCCUCUGAGGAUGGCCUAAACAUAGCUAGGGUUUCCGAUUGUCUAGUUCUUGUACUUAGUACUUUGUAAUCGUGUAUUUCUCUUUUGAACUUGGCUUGUUCCUUCUGAGAUUAGUCAUCUCUGUAGCACGAUGUAAUAUA
Salvia hispanica is the source of this 426-nucleotide non-coding RNA. The record is from RefSeq and is a predicted model, not a curated record. Lineage: Eukaryota; Viridiplantae; Streptophyta; Magnoliopsida; Lamiales; Lamiaceae.